Molecule: Y RNA, 95 nt
Filed under: Microcebus murinus (gray mouse lemur)
Lineage: Eukaryota; Metazoa; Chordata; Mammalia; Primates; Cheirogaleidae
Description: Y RNA (ENSMICG00000023496.3)
Rfam family: Y RNA
About the family: Y RNAs are components of the Ro ribonucleoprotein particle (Ro RNP), in association with Ro60 and La proteins.
Source: Rfam by way of RNAcentral
UCUGAAGGUAGUGAGUUGUCUCAUGUGAUUGUUCACAGUCAGUUACAGAUCGAACUCCUUGUUCUACUUUCCCCCCUCCUCACUACUGCACUUGA